AACGGUAGGCGGGUGAGCCU
This 20-nucleotide non-coding RNA is filed under the name Arabidopsis thaliana (thale cress). Lineage: Eukaryota; Viridiplantae; Streptophyta; Magnoliopsida; Brassicales; Brassicaceae. The record is from RNAcentral.